ACGGAGGGUGCGAGCGUUGUCCGGAAUCACUGGGCGUAAAGGGCGCGUAGGCGGCCCGGUAAGUAGGGGGUGAAAUCCUGCGGCUUAACCGCAGGGCUGCCUUCUAAACUGUCAGGCUAGAGCACGGUAGAGGCAGAUGGAAUUCCCGGUGUAGCAGUGAAAUGCGUAGAUAUCGGGAGGAACAUCUGUGGCGAAGGCGACACCCUGGACCAGCACUGACACUGAGGCACGAAAGCGUGGGGAGCAAACAGGA
Molecule: ribosomal RNA, 253 nt
Filed under: uncultured prokaryote
Description: partial 16S ribosomal RNA
Rfam family: Bacterial small subunit ribosomal RNA
Source: RNAcentral